UUUAGAGAUAGAGGAGUGCUCGAAAGAGAACCGUAACACAGGUGCUGCAUGGCUGUCGUCAGCUCGUGUCGUGAGAUGUUGGGUUAAGUCCCGCAACGAGCGCAACCCUUGUCAUUAGUUGCUACAUUCAGUUGGGCACUCUAAUGAGACUGCCGGUGACAAACCGGAGGAAGGUGGGGAUGACGUCAAGUCCUCAUGGCCCUUAUAGGUGGGGCUACACACGUCAUACAAUGGAUGGUACAAAGGGUCGCCAACCCGCGAGGGGGAGCCAAUCCCAUAAAGCCAUUCGUAGUCCGGAUUGUUCUCUGCAACUCGAGAGCAUGAAGUCGGAAUCGCUAGUAAUCGCGGAUCAGCAUGUCGCGGUGAAUACGUUCCCGGGUCUU
RNAcentral lists this ribosomal RNA (383 nucleotides) under uncultured Acidovorax sp. RNAcentral describes it as "bacterial SSU rRNA". It matches the Rfam family "Bacterial small subunit ribosomal RNA", at positions 999 to 1382 of the family's 1533-position model. The record is from RNAcentral. Lineage: Bacteria; Pseudomonadati; Pseudomonadota; Betaproteobacteria; Burkholderiales; Comamonadaceae.